This 279-nucleotide ribosomal RNA is filed under the name uncultured bacterium. RNAcentral's name for it is "partial 16S ribosomal RNA". It matches the Rfam family "Bacterial small subunit ribosomal RNA", at positions 506 to 784 of the family's 1533-position model. The record is from RNAcentral.
UGCCAGCCGCCGCGGUAAUACGGAAGGUGCAAGCGUUAAUCGGAAUUACUGGGCGUAAAGCGCACGUAGGCGGUUGGAUUAGUCGGAUGUGAAAGCCCCGGGCUUAACCUGGGAAUUGCAUUCGAUACUGUCCGACUAGAGUAUGGGAGAGGGUAGCGGAAUUCCGGGUGUAGCGGUGAAAUGCGUAGAUAUCCGGAGGAACAUCAGUGGCGAAGGCGGCUGCCUGGCCCAAUACUGACGCUGAGGUGCGAAAGCGUGGGGAGCAAACAGGAUUAGAUA